RNAcentral lists this transfer RNA (68 nucleotides) under Marmota monax (woodchuck). RNAcentral's name for it is "tRNA.Ala". Lineage: Eukaryota; Metazoa; Chordata; Mammalia; Rodentia; Sciuridae. The record is from RNAcentral.
GGAUUGUGGCUCAGCGGUAGAGCACUCACCUAGCGUGUGCGGGGCACUGGGUUCGAUCCUCAGCACCA